AGAGUCGAUCGGACAGUCGCUGUCUCAUUUCGUUCUACGAUUUUGAGAGGGAGGAAAGUCCGGGCUCCACAGGGCGGAGUGCCAGGUAACGCCUGGGAGGCGCAAGCCUACGGAAAGUGCCGCAGAAAAUAACCGCCUAAGCGCGCAAGCGCCGGUAAGGGUGAAAAGGUGCGGUAAGAGCGCACCGCACGACUGGUAACAGUUCGUGGCUAGGUAAACCCCACUCGGAGCAAGACCAAAUAGGAAUCCAUGGCGUGGCCCGCGUCGGAUUCGGGUAGGUUGCUAAAGGCUGUCAGUGAUGGCAGCCGUAGAUGAAUGACUGUCCUCGACAGAACCCGGCUUACAGAUCGACUCUUCAC
The sequence is a non-coding RNA, 359 nucleotides long. It matches the Rfam family "Bacterial RNase P class A". Rfam says of the family: Ribonuclease P (RNase P) is a ubiquitous endoribonuclease, found in archaea, bacteria and eukarya as well as chloroplasts and mitochondria. Its best characterised activity is the generation of mature 5'-ends of tRNAs by cleaving the 5'-leader elements of precursor-tRNAs. The record is from Rfam.